GCCUACGGGGGGCAGCAGUAGGGAAUCUUCCACAAUGGGCGAAAGCCUGAUGGAGCAACGCCGCGUGGGUGAAGAAGGUCUUCGGAUCGUAAAACCCUGUUGUUAGAGAAGAAAGUGCGUGAGAGUAACUGUUCACGUUUCGACGGUAUCUAACCAGAAAACCACGGCUAACUACGUGCCAGCAGCCGCGGUAAUACGUAGGUGGCAAGCGUUAUCCGGAUUUAUUGGGCGUAAAGGGAACGCAGGCGGUCUUUUAAGUCUGAUGUGAAAGCCUUCGGCUUAACCGGAGUAGUGCAUUGGAAACU
Molecule: ribosomal RNA, 305 nt
Filed under: uncultured bacterium
Lineage: Bacteria
Description: bacterial SSU rRNA
Rfam family: Bacterial small subunit ribosomal RNA
Source: RNAcentral